UUUUGAAAAAAUAUUUAGGUAAAAUUUCGGUAAUCAAGUAUAUACUGUCUACCGCUUUUAUUUAAGUAUUUAUUUCUCAGAUGGUAGCACUAAAACGUUGUCUCUGAAUUCGAACGUGUGAUAAAACGGCGGAGAAAAAGAAAUGAUUAAAGCAACAUCCAAUUUUAGUACCGCCAUUUAAAAAACAAAUGAUUAACUAAAAGCGGUAGAUUGCGUACUACAUGAUAAACGACAUAUCAUGAUCUUGUCCUUGGAAAAUCUGUAUUAUAUAAGAUGAAAGUAUCAUAUGCGCGCAUUUAAAGGACGCGAUUUUUAUCGUAAGCAUUCAACGCGAGUUUUUAGUUACCUAUACUACACGGAUGAUUCAGUUCCUAUAAGUUAGAUAACUUAACCCCACGCAAAGUCCAUGAUAAUUCUUAAAGAAUAAAAAUACGUAAAAAAAAAUGAAAUUAUCGGUAAUUAAAGGUUUUUAUAACAAAUUCAAAAUUCGUGUCGUUGCGUGCACAUGGGUUCGUUAUGGAUUCAAUGCGCACAGAACCGAUAAUAGCUUGAUAAAAUCUAUUUUAUCCAAAGAACACUGUUCUGAAACUUUCCAUAAAAAUACUCGUUCAGCUUAUUUCAGUAUCACAGAGCAUAAUCAGUAAUUACACCUCAAACUACUAAGAACAUCAAACACAAUACAAUGCAAAGCGCAUCUAAAAAGCGAAACUCUUACGGAUAUCUCAAUACUCCAAAUUCAGUCCUGAACUAACAACUGAUGCUCUAUCCGGUCUUACAUAGUUUUGUACCUUCCACUUUUCGAAAUUACUGCAAGGAAUAUGAGAGCCGGACAUGGUUACAGUUACAUACAGGGAUCAAUUACAUAUUCCGUGACAUACAUAGGCUAGGGGAAAUAUCAGUAACAUACAGGUGCAUAGAGAGAAAUUCAGUGACAUACAGGGGUUAGACCAAAAUGUCGCCAAGUUUGGAGUGUUUUGGCGAUUUCUCGCCAAAUUUGGAGACAAAAAUUAGUCGCUAGAGCCAUCGCCAGUUUGGUAUCUAAAUCUUAUAUCCAAUAUGUAUAUCUAAAUCUUAACAGGUUAGAAAUUAGUAACAUAAUGACCAAGAAAAUCACUUCUGUCAGUGAUGUUGGAAUUAGUUGUUAACUUUUGCAGGAAAUAUGUAGUAGGUAAACUACGUUAAUUUACUUAUUGCCGCAAAACACUCGAUAGUUAUCUGCCUGAUAUUAAAACAUUUUCGACGUAUCGGUUAUUUUUUUUCCUUUGGGGCUCUAAAUAAGCCUUGUGGUAAUACAUAAGUUAUAACUUUACCGAGGAGUGCAUUUUAUGCUUGAUUGGUAUCAUAAAUAUGACGUCAAUAUGAGCUAACAAUAUUUUUUUGUCUUGCAUGUGGGACCCGUUUGGCAAAAUGGCAUCAUUUAUGUGCAUUUAUUCUUUCUCAAAAAUGGCUACUUUAUUAACAAGAUUCAAAAAGGAUAGUACCACCAGUUAUGUUAAAGAAGUUUUAUGCUCUUUCAUAAUUGUUCUUCUACUCAUCAUCCUGUGGUGGAUUUUAUUAUAAUUGAAGACUUGAUCCUAUUUCCUUUUCUUUUUUUGUACAUGUUUUGUGAAUAAAAUAAGUUAUUUCUUAAAAAAAAAAAAAAAAAAAAAAAAAAAAAAAAAAACUUAAUGUCUUAUUUAAAAAUCUUAUCACUCUUAUUUAAAAAAUUAUACAAAUUAUUUAUUUUGUGAACAUUUUAGACAUGGAGAUAAGAUCAUUUAUUAGAAUUCCGCCUAUCAGUGGCUUAAUGGCUAAAGCCAUGAAAAAUCAAUAGUUCAUGCUAUGUGUAUGAAAAUAAAGGUUAUUUUUCAGCAAAUGA
Long non-coding RNA from Stegodyphus dumicola, 1858 nucleotides. NCBI's taxonomy places the organism in Eukaryota, Metazoa, Arthropoda, Arachnida, Araneae, Eresidae. The record is from RefSeq and is a predicted model, not a curated record.